GAUGAACGCUGGCGGCGUGCUUAACACAUGCAAGUCGAACGAAGCAUUUGCGACAGAUUUCUUCGGAUUGAAGUUGCUUAUGACUGAGUGGCGGACGGGUGAGUAACGCGUGGGUAACCUGCCUCACACAGGGGGAUAGCAGUUGGAAACGGCUGAUAAUACCGCAUAAGCGCACAGUACCGCAUGGUACAGUGUGAAAAACUCCGGUGGUGUGAGAUGGACCCGCGUCUGAUUAGCUUGUUGGCGGGGUAACGGCCCACCAAGGCAACGAUCAGUAGCCGACCUGAGAGGGUGACCGGCCACAUUGGGACUGAGACACGGCCCAGACUCCUACGGGAGGCAGCAGUGGGGAAUAUUGCACAAUGGAGGAAACUCUGAUGCAGCGACGCCGCGUGAGUGAAGAAGUAAUUCGUUAUGUAAAGCUCUAUCAGCAGGGAAGAUAGUGA
Molecule: ribosomal RNA, 446 nt
Filed under: uncultured bacterium
Lineage: Bacteria
Description: bacterial SSU rRNA
Rfam family: Bacterial small subunit ribosomal RNA
Source: RNAcentral